UCAACUCUGGCUGAAGAGUAGCGUUGAUCCGAGCGUUCUGAUCUCAGAAAAGCAGUCAAGCUAGCUAACUGGCUAACGUUGGCCAGCUUUCUAGCUACUCCCAGACACAAAUGAGAGAACCUCACUCUGGCCAUUGUACUUGUUAUCUACAGCGUUAGUGGCUUUAGCUGUGCUGCUGGCAACAACAUACUUACUUGUUUUGCCUACGUUUACUGACACCUGUCAGAUUCAGCGUUUUUUGGCGCGUUCGUCAAUUCAUCGGUUAUUCUGCGAUCUUGCACACUCAGACGAGAGUGCUCUGAAAUCGGAGUAGAUAUCCAGUGAAUUUUCGAACGCACCCUCUAAUCAAGCACAAUUGAGCCAGCCAACCUGUAUCGUCAUUUCGGGGUCCUUAUUCAGAGUGACCAACGAGGAUUAGUCCGUGAUUCGACCUUUUUCGUGUAUGUUAUUUUUGUUUAGUUAGCCAAGUAAAAUGUACUACAAGUUAAAUGCAGUUACACAAAGACUUAUCCAAUCGGCACCGAGUGCUGACAACCCUCAGGGAUUGAGGAUAACCGUGCCCACGGAGGCUCCCCCAAAUGAUCUUUGCCACACCCACCAAAUAUGUGUCAGAGGCAGGGAACAUGGUGGAGUACCUGGGACACAACAAAGUCCCUGACCUUCUAGAAGUCUGAUGGUAUCCCGGUGCACCUGAAGGGAGGCCUGAUGGACAUGAUGCUGUACAGGACUACCAUGUCCCUGACCAUCGGUGGGACCCUCUACUGCCUGAUGGCUCUCUACAUCGCUGCCCAGCCUCGGAAGUGAUCAGCUUCCUCCUCUUCAAGGGUCCAGCAGGAUUUUAUGAGUCAGAUUAGGAGCAAUAAUGUGGAUAAUGAUUAUGCUCACUGUCAGUCAAGGAAAGGGAUUGCUUUACCCCUCCAAUGUAUAUAUUACCUCUCCAUGUCUUAUUUAUUGCCUAGUUUCAUGUUAGGGUUCCCUUCUGCAAGAUUUCAUCAGACACAAAUAAUGUCUCAUUUGUAAAAUGGAGGAGAAAUCUAAUAUAUCACUACUGCUGGCCCAUCUUACUCGCUCUGUGUAUGUGUGCUUGUGCAAGUUGUACAUGUGUAUCUCUACUGACAUUUCUGUAUGUUUCCUAUACAACCAGUAUCAUUUCAGUGGUUCAAUAACUACAACUGCUGAUCAACAAUCUAAAAAUAACAUCAGUCUGACCAUGUUUUCUGUCAGCACACAUGUAUGUGUUUGGAAAGGAUUUGGGGGUCUCAUGUAUGAAUUUGGGUUAUCUUUUGUUUGGAUGAGAGUGGACAGGGCUAGCACCUUUCAAAGCUAAAAAUUAGGUGGUACUUCAGGUUGUGUGAUCAAUAGUGUGUCUGUAAUAUACUCUGAACACCCCCCCCCCCAAGUCCCUAUGUUAUGGUACAGAGGUUAUGAGUUGUCAUUUAGGCUGUGUCCUAACUGACAAUGUUCUGUAAAAAGAGAGUGCAUGCAUAGUGGAUUGCAAAGAAUAUCUGACAAGUCAUAAUUUUGUCUUGGGGAUAAUAAAGAACAUUUUGUCUGUAAAACAUGAUUUAAAAAAAAUGUAUUUUUUUUAUUUUUAUCUAGUACCUCAAUUAAAGGGCUAUCGAACUAUUCUAGGAAUAGCUGACCUUGAAAUGGGAUAUUCCUCAUAGCAGGAUCUAUGACUUUGAAUGCUACUUGGACAUCCUUGUUCAACUGGUAAUUUAUUUACCAUGUCAUAGAUUUCUAUUCUCCAAGUCACUUCAGCACAAUUAGAAAUGUAUAUGUGAGUCUUUUUAUACUCAAAAUGUAAUAUUUCACAAGACAUUGACUAAUGGGCGGUAUCAAGGUAGAGCAGAGAUUUUGUUGAUCGAUCUUUGCUUUAUUCUUGAUUUUUACAAUCUGUACAAUAGCCAGUUAGACCUUUCCAUCAUACUCUUCUAUAUCUAUGUCGAAGACAUUCGGUCAUUAAGUGGGAAUUGACACGAGUAUGCAUAUGAGGUUUUAUGUUAAUUGUUGACAUGUCCAGCCACCUUGCUCACAAAAUGAUGGCAAAAGGAUAUCUAGCCACUUAAUAAU
Molecule: long non-coding RNA, 2073 nt
Organism: Oncorhynchus gorbuscha (pink salmon)
Lineage: Eukaryota; Metazoa; Chordata; Actinopteri; Salmoniformes; Salmonidae
Exons: 3
Source: RefSeq, a predicted model, not a curated record